Molecule: non-coding RNA, 88 nt
Filed under: Enterobacter sp. NFIX59
Lineage: Bacteria; Pseudomonadati; Pseudomonadota; Gammaproteobacteria; Enterobacterales; Enterobacteriaceae
Source: RNAcentral
AAUAACGGUGGCGCUGGCGGAGCAGCCGUAAGGCUGGCCGUUUUUCUAUAUGGGCGGUAUUCCUACCUCUGUCAGCGCUACCCCCCGA